RNAcentral lists this long non-coding RNA (904 nucleotides) under Lotus japonicus. RNAcentral's name for it is "long non-coding RNA (LJAP_LNC001240)". The record is from RNAcentral. Lineage: Eukaryota; Viridiplantae; Streptophyta; Magnoliopsida; Fabales; Fabaceae.
UUUACCAUUACUCGCCCAAACAUUUCAUUUGCUAUUUCUGUGGUAGUAAGUUUCUUCAGUCUUCUUGUGAUAAUUAUUGGGAUGCAACUAUUGGAAUCUUGAGGUAUCAGGUAUGUGAAGAAAUUUCCUGGUCAAGAUCUGUUAUAUUAGAAUAAUAGUCAUAAGUAGGUGAUUGGUUAUUCAAAUGCUGCAAAUUAGGCUAGAUCUCCUGAUAAACGUUAUACUUCAGAAAAUAAGAAUUUGGAAGUUGCUGCUAUAUCUAGUGUAAAUAGCUAAAAUUUGUAGAAAUCUCACGGAUAAGGUUGUUUUAUGAUCAGAUUGCUCUUCACAUAACCUCUAACCCAGUUUUUUAUGAUAGAAUUUAACACAAUGACAUUGAUUGUCAUUUUGUAAGAGAAAGAGUGUUUUAUGAAUUAUGAUGUACCAUCAUUAACUACAUUAAUAGUAAAGAUCAGCUAGCCAACAUUCUCACAAAAGUCCCUUGGAGGAUCCUGAGUUGAAUUCAUUUGUACUAGGUUUGGUACUUAUGAUCUAUGUCAAUUUCUUUUAUCACAUUCAAAAAUGGAGGUGUUCCAUACUCAUUUGUCUUAAUUUGUCAUGUUUGUUUCUAAAAUAAACUUUCAUAAUAUAGUAUUUUGUUCUAAAAAAUGAACAGAAUGGUACUAUAUCAUCCUAUUUUAAAUUGUUACCGAAGCAACGCUCAUGAUCUAUAUGGUCCAACUUCAGGAGAAUUGCUGAUGAAUGAAGAAUGUAGUUUGUGGUUUAGCUUCUUGGCGAGCCCUCCGGCGGCUGCCAUCCCCUUGUUAACAGAGGACUACCGCGCCACUCUUUUGUGUUUUGUCUCUUUAAGCACUUAUGUACCAAAAAAAGUAAUGCAUCCAUAAAAUAUUUUAGAUUCUCUUCC